CUGCACUCUGGGACAAGCCCUGGAAAGUGGGCCUCAUCCCGGAUCCUGAUCUUCGCACGCAUUUUCGAGCUUUGAAAGCUUCCGGCGGUGCAGGAUGAGCCCGCGGCCUUUCAGCUAGUUGGUGAGGUAACGGCUCACCAAGGUGACGACGGGUAGCCGGCCUGAGAGGGCGACCGGCCACACUGGGACUGAGACACGGCCCAGACUCCUACGGGAGGCAGCAGUGGGGAAUAUUGCACAAUGGGCGAAAGCCUGAUGCAGCGACGCCGCGUGAGGGAUGACGGCCUUCGGGUUGUAAACCUCUUUCAGCAGGGAAGAAGCGAAAGUGACGGUACCUGCAGAAGAAGCGCCGGCUAACUACGUGCCAGCAGCCGCGGUAAUACGUAGGGCGCAAGCGUUGUCCGGAAUUAUUGGGCGUAAAGAGCUCGUAGGCGGCUUGUCACGUCGGUUGUGAAAGCCCGGGGCUUAACCCCGGGUCUGCAGUCGAUACGGGCAGGCUAGAGUUCGGUAGGGGAGAUCGGAAUUCCUGGUGUAGCGGUGAAAUGCGCAGAUAUCAGGAGGAACACCGGUGGCGAAGGCGGAUCUCUGGGCCGAUACUGACGCUGAGGAGCGAAAGCGUGGGGAGCGAACAGGAUUAGAUACCCUGGUAGUCCACGCCGUAAACGGUGGGCACUAGGUGUGGGCAACAUUCCACGUUGUCCGUGCCGCAGCUAACGCAUUAAGUGCCCCGCCUGGGGA
RNAcentral lists this ribosomal RNA (738 nucleotides) under Streptomyces enissocaesilis. RNAcentral describes it as "bacterial SSU rRNA". It matches the Rfam family "Bacterial small subunit ribosomal RNA", at positions 131 to 879 of the family's 1533-position model. The record is from RNAcentral. Lineage: Bacteria; Bacillati; Actinomycetota; Actinomycetes; Kitasatosporales; Streptomycetaceae.